Symphalangus syndactylus (siamang) is the source of this 2355-nucleotide long non-coding RNA. RefSeq lists it as uncharacterized. NCBI's taxonomy places the organism in Eukaryota, Metazoa, Chordata, Mammalia, Primates, Hylobatidae. The record is from RefSeq and is a predicted model, not a curated record.
ACAAGCCAAGAGACACCAAGGUGGCCAGCAGCCCAUGUGAAGCUGGAGGAGAGGCCUCGAAACAAUGCUCCCUCACAGCGUUCAGGGGGAACUGACCCUGUCCACACCUUGACCUUGAACUUCUGGGCUCCAGAACUGUGAGACAGUACGUUUCUGUUGUUGAAGGUACCUGGUCUGGGGUGCGUGGUACUUUGCAGCCAGAGUGAAUAAAUCUGGUGACACUGACCUGUGCACUGUAUGUCUUGUCUGUAGCUUGCUGGAGCAGCGUGGCUAGAGGAAUUCCUGCAGCUUAGAUUUCGCUGGCACCGUUACCACUCCCAGAGAGGAGCGGCUGGAGUUCACGGCUGGUUCCCGACAAACUUCCUAAUUAAUCUGCUAAAGAUCAGAGGAGGACUAAUAGGAGCUGAAGACUGUGUGCGAGACCACCCCUCCGCCCUCUCCCUUUGUGUGUGCAUGUGUGUGUGUGCGCGCGCGCGCAUGUGGUGCUGAGCUUGGCAGGAGAGAGAGGGCCUCACCAGCGACAAAGCAUUCCUGCUGCUGUUGCUGCCACCUACCUUCCCUGCUUUGGGAGGAUACAUUUUCUCCUCUUGCUUAGAAGUUUAAGGGAGUCACCCAAGCCUUCUCCCAGAUACAACAGUGGAAUAAAAUAUCUUCCAACCAACUUUUUUUUUUUUUUUUUUUUUUUUUUUUUUUGAGACGGAAUCUCACUCUGUCACCCGGUUGGAGCACAGCAGCGUGAUCAUGGCUCACUGCAACCUCUGCCUCCCGGUUUCAAGUGAUUCUCCUGCCUCAGCCUCCCGAGUAGCUGGGAUUACAGGCGUGUGCCACCCACCACGCCCGGGUAAUUUUUGUAUUUUUAGUAGAGACAGGGUUUCACUAUGUGGGCCGGGCUGGUCUCAAACUCCUGACCUCUGGUGAUCUGCCCACUUCGGGCUCUCAAAGUGCUGGGAUUACAGGCAUGAGCCCCUGCACGCGGCUGCAACCAACUUUUUUGUGGAAUACAGGAUCUUGAUGUUUGGGUGCCUGAAGGCAGAAGCUGUUGCACAUGGAAUGGAUUAAAGUUUUCCCCUCUGCAACCAAAAAUCCUUGGGGUCCCAGGAGCAAAAGAUGCUCCAGGACACAGGACAAUUCAAGGAGGCCCGAGGUGAUAUUGAAGACUGCAGAGACGUCCAGCUCGGUCGUGUCUCCGGAGGUGUCCAGACUUUGCAGACAGAUGUUGCACAUAAAGAGCUGAAAAACCGAGGAAGCUGAGCUGGAGAAGGAAGUCACUUCUACUCCGCCUUGACCUGCGUCUGAUGCUAUGGGGCCUCUUAGGGUUACCUCAUGCUUCACGCACCCCUUUCUCUGUUCCUCAGCAGAAAGCAGGGUGUAGGGAAGCGGGUCUGUGCCUCCUUUCUCCCUGCCAGGCCUGACUCUCCAGGCCGAGCGACACCAUUAAGGAGUAUAAUUUGUUGAUCCAGGCUCUCCUUGCUUUUCAGUGCAGAGUGGCAUCGUUUUCUUUAUGACCUCGUAAAGUCACAGCCGAGAGGCCGAUUUGGAAAACAAACUGCCUCAGGUUGACAGAUAAUUAGAUACAGGGGACAUAUUAUAUGCCUUUGCAUAUAAAUGUGCUCUGAGGCGUGUUGGUUCAUCUGAAGUUGAGGUUAAAGGCGCGCCAGAGUUAAUCCUAAUAAAAAAUGAUUACAGAAGAGGAUGCCUCCACCCACAGGAAGGAGCCAGCACGGUGGGGAGCUGUUUGACCAGGGGAGUGUUCUCAGCAGCUGCCACACGUGGAGGUGUGGAACAGGAUCUUGGCGGUGGACUGCCACGGGAGCUCUGGGGAAAAAGGACCAGCUGGACUCCAGUACCUCCUGAGAGAUCACCACCCUCCCUGCCUCCAGCUCAUGCCCAGCUCUGAGUCAAACAGACUCUUCCUGUUACACUGCGAGGCUGUGCAAACCUUAAAGGGCAAACACAGUGAGGGUCUCUGACUUGCUGUGUGGACAGCCCACUCUCUGACAGCCCAGAUCAUCUGAAGCUAUCCCUGGGCUGGGAGCUGGAAGCCAUUCUUGUGAACCACUCCUUAUACCUUGAGCUAAGCCUCUUUGGGUCCCAGAAGUCUGAAGCUCCAGCUGCCUGGCAAGACUGAGUCUAGAUGAUUUCUUGAGGACCAGUAGUUUGGCAUUUAAAAAUACUGGAUUAACUGCAGUGUAAACUUAGAUUGCAUUUCAGAUUGUAAACAAUGACCCCAGUGCUUCAUGUGACGUUAAAUCAGAAAUGAGCUGUUAGCCAAGCUAGUCCUCUUAUGAAUGAGCCCCUAACCCUGAUCCAGGGAUCGUUGAACGAAAAUCAUCAAAAUGAUUUAUCUUCACUUUA